GAUGAAGAACGUAGCGAAAUGCGAUAAGUAGUGCGAAUUGCAGAAUUCAGUGAAUCAUCGAAUCUUUGAACGCACAUUGCGCCCCUUGGUAUUCCAUGGGGCAUGCCUGUUCGAGCGUCAUUUGUACCUUCAAGCUCUGCUUGGUGUUGGGUGUUUGUCUCGCCUCUGCGUGUAGACUCGCCUCAAAACAAUUGGCAGCCGGCGUAUUGAUUUCGGAGCGCAGUACAUCUCGCGCUUUGCACUCAUAACGACGACGUCCAAAAGUACAUUUUUACACUCUUGACCUCGGAUCAGGUAGGGAUACCCGCUGAACUUAAGCAUAUCGAUAAGCGGAGGA
Molecule: unclassified non-coding RNA, 337 nt
Filed under: soil metagenome
Description: partial contains 5.8S ribosomal RNA, internal transcribed spacer 2, and large subunit ribosomal RNA
Rfam family: 5.8S ribosomal RNA (bases 1-120)
Source: RNAcentral